CCUACGGGAGGCAGCAGUGGGGAAUAUUGCACAAUGGGGGAAAGCCUGAUGCAGCGACGCCGCGUGAAGGAAGAAGUAUUUCGGUAUGUAAACUUCUAUCAGCAGGGAAGAAAAUGACGGUACCUGACUCAGAAGCCCCGUCUACCUACGUGCCAGCAACCGCGGCAAUCCGUCGGGGGCCAGCGUUAUCCGGAUUUACUGGGUUUAAAGGGAGCGUAGGCGGUGCAGCAAGUCAGAAGUGAAAGCUCGGAGCUCAACUCCGGGACUGCAUUUGAAACUGUUGAACUAGAGUGCAGGAGAGGUAAGUGGAAUGCCUAGUGUAGCGGUGAAAUGCGUAGAUAUUAGGAAGAACACCGGUGGCGAAGGCAACUUACUGGACUGUAAAUGACGCUGAGGCUCGAAAGCGUGGGGAGCGAACAGGAUUAGAUACCCCUGUAGUC
This 440-nucleotide ribosomal RNA is filed under the name uncultured bacterium. RNAcentral's name for it is "partial 16S ribosomal RNA". It matches the Rfam family "Bacterial small subunit ribosomal RNA", at positions 338 to 795 of the family's 1533-position model. The record is from RNAcentral.